CUUGGUGCUCAUGGCGUAAUGGAACCACGCUGAUCCAUCUCGAACUCAGUUGUGAAACGUUACUGCGACGAAGAUAGUUGGUGGGUAGCUGCCUGCAAAAAUAGUUCAGUGCCAAGA
Ribosomal RNA from Synechococcus sp. PCC 6312, 117 nucleotides. NCBI's taxonomy places the organism in Bacteria, Bacillati, Cyanobacteriota, Cyanophyceae, Synechococcales, Synechococcaceae. The record is from Rfam.